GGCUCCACAGUGUAGUUGGUUAGCAUGUCUGCUUUACAUGCAGAAGGUCCUGGGUUCAGGCCCCAGGGGGAGCCA
This 75-nucleotide transfer RNA is filed under the name Pteropus alecto (black flying fox). It matches the Rfam family "tRNA". From Rfam's summary of the family: Transfer RNA (tRNA) molecules are approximately 80 nucleotides in length. Their secondary structure includes four short double-helical elements and three loops (D, anti-codon, and T loops). The record is from Rfam by way of RNAcentral. Lineage: Eukaryota; Metazoa; Chordata; Mammalia; Chiroptera; Pteropodidae.